GACCUGAUUGUCUUCACAGUUUAAUAAAUAAAUAAAUUUAUGCUGAUUAUCAAGUAUAGAAAAAUUUGGAAUUCUUUGGCAAACAAAGUCAAAGAGAGCAUCUCUAUCUGAUUUAAAAUUUUCACAGUUAGUUAAAAAAUGGAUUUCAUCUUCAACACAGCCAGAGGAGCAUUUUUUGCAAAUUCUUUCAUUUCGUGGAAUAUUUGAAAAACGACCAACUUCAAUUUGAAGCUUAUGAGCAGAAAUACGUAAUUUGCAUAUAGAUCUUCUAAAAUCAAAGUUCUUAAUUAAAGAAAGAUAAUUUUCAUAACCAAAAUUCUGCUUAAAUUUCACAUAAUUAAACAGUUUUCCA
RNAcentral lists this long non-coding RNA (352 nucleotides) under Mytilus galloprovincialis (Mediterranean mussel). Lineage: Eukaryota; Metazoa; Mollusca; Bivalvia; Mytilida; Mytilidae. The record is from RNAcentral.